UUUGAAAGAACUUUUUCCCAACUCCUGUGCUCUUUCUCGAUUCGGUGGGUGGUGGUGCAUGGCCGUUGUUAGUUGGUGGAGCGAUCCGUCUGGUUAAUUCCGAUAACGAAUGAGACUCCGGCCUGCUGAC
Octopus sinensis (East Asian common octopus) is the source of this 130-nucleotide long non-coding RNA. RefSeq lists it as uncharacterized. NCBI's taxonomy places the organism in Eukaryota, Metazoa, Mollusca, Cephalopoda, Octopoda, Octopodidae. The transcript has 5 exons. The record is from RefSeq and is a predicted model, not a curated record.